This 253-nucleotide ribosomal RNA is filed under the name uncultured bacterium. Its description in RNAcentral is "partial 16S ribosomal RNA". It matches the Rfam family "Bacterial small subunit ribosomal RNA", at positions 524 to 776 of the family's 1533-position model. The record is from RNAcentral.
UACGAAGGGGGCUAGCGUUGUUCGGAAUUACUGGGCGUAAAGCGCACGUAGGCGGGUUGUUAAGUCAGGUGUGAAAUCCUGGAGCUCAACUCCAGAACUGCCUUUGAUACUGGCAACCUAGAGACUGGAAGAGGUUAGUGGAAUUCCCAGUGUAGAGGUGAAAUUCGUAGAUAUUGGGAAGAACACCAGUGGCGAAGGCGGCUAACUGGUCCAGCACUGACGCUGAGGUGCGAAAGCGUGGGGAGCAAACAGG